This 433-nucleotide ribosomal RNA is filed under the name uncultured bacterium. Its description in RNAcentral is "partial 16S ribosomal RNA". It matches the Rfam family "Bacterial small subunit ribosomal RNA", at positions 29 to 507 of the family's 1533-position model. The record is from RNAcentral.
AACGAACGCUGGCGGCAUGCCUAACACAUGCAGGUCGAACGAGACCUUCGGGUCUAGUGGCGCACGGGUGCGUAACGCGUGGGAACCUGCCCUUAGGUUCGGAAUAACUCCCCGAAAGGGGUGCUAAUACCGGAUAAUGUCUUCGGACCAAAGAUUUAUCGCCUUUGGAUGGGCCCGCGUUGGAUUAGCUAGUUGGUAGGGUAAAAGCCUACCAAGGCGACGAUCCAUAGCUGGUCUGAGAGGAUGAUCAGCCACACUGGGACUGAGACACGGCCCAGACUCCCACGGGAGGCAGCAGUGGGGAAUAUUGGACAAUGGGCGAAAGCCUGAUCCAGCAAUGCCGCGUGAGUGAUGAAGGCCUUAGGGUUGUAAAGCUCUUUUACCCGGGAUGAUAAUGACAGUACCGGGAGAAUAAGCUCCGGCUAACUCCGUG